Molecule: ribosomal RNA, 1394 nt
Filed under: Salmonella enterica subsp. enterica serovar Newport str. VA_R100512572
Lineage: Bacteria; Pseudomonadati; Pseudomonadota; Gammaproteobacteria; Enterobacterales; Enterobacteriaceae
Description: bacterial LSU rRNA
Rfam family: Bacterial large subunit ribosomal RNA
Source: RNAcentral
CUGAGGCGUGAUGACGAGGCACUACGGUGCUGAAGCAACAAAUGCCCUGCUUCCAGGAAAAGCCUCUAAGCAUCAGGUAACAUCAAAUCGUACCCCAAACCGACACAGGUGGUCAGGUAGAGAAUACCAAGGCGCUUGAGAGAACUCGGGUGAAGGAACUAGGCAAAAUGGUGCCGUAACUUCGGGAGAAGGCACGCUGACACGUAGGUGAAGUGAUUUACUCAUGGAGCUGAAGUCAGUCGAAGAUACCAGCUGGCUGCAACUGUUUAUUAAAAACACAGCACUGUGCAAACACGAAAGUGGACGUAUACGGUGUGACGCCUGCCCGGUGCCGGAAGGUUAAUUGAUGGGGUCAGCGCAAGCGAAGCUCCUGAUCGAAGCCCCGGUAAACGGCGGCCGUAACUAUAACGGUCCUAAGGUAGCGAAAUUCCUUGUCGGGUAAGUUCCGACCUGCACGAAUGGCGUAAUGAUGGCCAGGCUGUCUCCACCCGAGACUCAGUGAAAUUGAACUCGCUGUGAAGAUGCAGUGUACCCGCGGCAAGACGGAAAGACCCCGUGAACCUUUACUAUAGCUUGACACUGAACAUUGAGCCUUGAUGUGUAGGAUAGGUGGGAGGCUUUGAAGCGUGGACGCCAGUCUGCGUGGAGCCGACCUUGAAAUACCACCCUUUAAUGUUUGAUGUUCUAACGUGGACCCGUAAUCCGGGUUGCGGACAGUGUCUGGUGGGUAGUUUGACUGGGGCGGUCUCCUCCUAAAGAGUAACGGAGGAGCACGAAGGUUGGCUAAUCCUGGUCGGACAUCAGGAGGUUAGUGCAAUGGCAUAAGCCAGCUUGACUGCGAGCGUGACGGCGCGAGCAGGUGCGAAAGCAGGUCAUAGUGAUCCGGUGGUUCUGAAUGGAAGGGCCAUCGCUCAACGGAUAAAAGGUACUCCGGGGAUAACAGGCUGAUACCGCCCAAGAGUUCAUAUCGACGGCGGUGUUUGGCACCUCGAUGUCGGCUCAUCACAUCCUGGGGCUGAAGUAGGUCCCAAGGGUAUGGCUGUUCGCCAUUUAAAGUGGUACGCGAGCUGGGUUUAGAACGUCGUGAGACAGUUCGGUCCCUAUCUGCCGUGGGCGCUGGAGAACUGAGGGGGGCUGCUCCUAGUACGAGAGGACCGGAGUGGACGCAUCACUGGUGUUCGGGUUGUCAUGCCAAUGGCACUGCCCGGUAGCUAAAUGCGGAAGAGAUAAGUGCUGAAAGCAUCUAAGCACGAAACUUGCCCCGAGAUGAGUUCUCCCUGAGACUUUAGAGUCUCCUGAAGGAACGUUGAAGACGACGACGUUGAUAGGCCGGGUGUGUAAGCGCAGCGAUGCGUUGAGCUAACCGGUACUAAUGAACCGUGAGGCUUAACCUU